AUCUGUGUCCAUUUCACCCUGAACGUGCCAAACCUCCUCUCAUCUCAGAAGCUAAGCAGGGUCAGGCCUCCUUAACAUUCGGAUGGGAGACCACCUGGGACUACUGGGGGCCGUAGGGC
Ribosomal RNA from Otolemur garnettii (small-eared galago), 119 nucleotides. Lineage: Eukaryota; Metazoa; Chordata; Mammalia; Primates; Galagidae. The record is from Ensembl.